GACGAACGCUGGCGGCGUGCCUAAUACAUGCAAGUCGAACGCAUUUUCUUUCACCGUAGCUUGCUACACCGAAAGAAAGUGAGUGGCGAACGGGUGAGUAACACGUUGGUAACCUGCCCAUCAGCGGGGGAUAACACUUGGAAACAGGUGCUAAUACCGCAUAAUUCCAUUUACCGCAUGGUAGAUGGAUGAAAGGCGCUUUUGCGUCACUGAUGGAUGGACCCGCGGUGCAUUAGCUAGUUGGUGGGGUAACGGCCUACCAAGGCUGCGAUGCAUAGCCGACCUGAGAGGGUGAUCGGCCACACUGGGACUGAGACACGGCCCAGACUCCUACGGGAGGCAGCAGUAGGGAAUCUUCGGCAAUGGACGCAAGUCUGACCGAGCAACGCCGCGUGAGUGAAGAAGGUUGUCGGAUUGUAAAACUCUGUUGUUAGAGAAGAACAAGGAUGAGAGUGGAAAGUUCAUCCCUUGACGGUAUCUAACCAGAAAGCCACGGCUAACUACGUG
Molecule: ribosomal RNA, 507 nt
Filed under: uncultured bacterium
Lineage: Bacteria
Description: partial 16S ribosomal RNA
Rfam family: Bacterial small subunit ribosomal RNA
Source: RNAcentral